AGUAAAUAUAUAUUAGAGUUUAUUUUUUUAUUCGAAGGGAAAAUCUUUAAAUAACAAUAAAAAUAUAAAAUAUUUAUUAGUACAGACCAAUACGAUACACCGUAUUUCCUUCAAACACAAACCAAGGAACUGAAAAUAUUAUUAAUAGAAGUAUAGAACUAGUCGUCAAAAUGGAACGUGGUCUCCUAGCACAGAAGCAAUUUGAUCUUUAAUUAGGUAAGAAUGCGUAUAGCCGUCGUCCUCUUUGUAAAUAAAAUCAAUUGCACGAGCAAGAUUAAGAAUCGUCCCGAGCAGUGGUCGGGCAACGACGGUUGGCUUCAUCAUCAACUCCUCGUUAAUAUCUUUCCAUGCAUUUGCAACUUCUUCUUCAAACAUUUUAAUUGCCUCUUCCUUAGAGACACCAUGCUGCUUCGUGUAACAUUCAAUAGCUGACGCAACAUGUCCUCUCUUCUGCUCAAACUACAUAUAUAAUAACAUAUGGUUUAGUAUCGGUGCCUGUUUAGAUUGGUAUAUAUUAGGAGAUUUAUAAGUAAUUAUAGUAAUUAUUCGAAAAAUUAAAAGUUAAUUUUGAUGUAUACACACACACACCCCACUUUUCAGUGCGCAGAUUUUUAAAAAAUAUAAUAACAUAGAUUGGAGGGUUUUGAUAAAUUUUCUAUAAAAGUGCGGGGUUAUGUAAGCAGUGGAAAAAACUAUAAGGGGAUGUAGUGCCAUUUUCACUUAAUUUAAUUAGUAGUUAGUAAAGUAUUUUUUAUUUUGCAUACCUCAUGACCUUGCAUGUCAUCCAAGAGUCUGCAGAUAACUGAUGCUGCUUUUACAACCUUAGGGUUAUCGGAGAUCCAUUCAAAAACCUCUUUAGUUGCAAAAUCACCCAUCCCAAGGAAGGAAUUUGUUAUGACGAAUGUGUAAGCACAACUUGUUAGUGCAAUAGGCAUAUACUCCUCAAUUGUUGGAACGUAACCUUCACUGAACCAUUUGGCUUGAACAAAGUAUGCUCCAAUUACUUUUUGAUUCUGAGAAGCAAAACGCAGCUAAACCUUAGCCGUUAUAAAAACAAUAAUAAGAAAUAAGUUUUUUAAAUUUUAAUAUACCUGUUGUGAUAUAUUAAUUUGAUCUAAUUAAUUUCUAAGAGCCAAUAAUUCAGUAAGAUUUAUGGUUGAUGAGUGAGAUUUCUCAUCUCCAUCCAAACAAACUUAACAAAUAGAAGGAAACAACCUCCAUUAUAAAACACACUUUUGAUAAGUUUUAUGUAACCUAACAAAUAGCUCCAAGGGCUUAAGCUAAUUAUCCAAUGAAUUCUUAGAUUUGUAAUAAUUCAGGGAGAGAUGUGUUAAAAUUUUAGCAAAAUUUCAGGGGCGAUGAAUGAAAUAUUUUCUAAACUUUUGUGAAACUUAAAUUUACCCAUAGAUAUUUUGUGUAAUUUUAUAGGUGGAGCAGAUAUAUCCCUCCCAAAAUUGUGUACAAUAUGCAUAUCAGUAAUUAAAGAAAAAAAAAUUGGGGAUGAUGAUGCAUACCUCCUCUUUUGCAUAACGUACGCAGUGUGAUCUUCCUUGCUUGGCCAUAUCUUCCUCAAUUUCAUUAAAAGCAUCUAAGAGUGUCCUGUAAAUCAAUUUCAUGUAUUCUGGAAGCAUAUCUACGGCCUCAAUAUUCCAUCUGGAAAUCAAUUUAAUAACCAUUUUAUAAUAAUAGCAACAAAAAUUUAAUUCUGAAAUUCAAAAUUAAUUAGCUAUACGCAGGGCACUAACCUUUGAACUGCUUCAGUAAAGAGGCUGAGUUCUUCAAGUGUACCAUACGCAUCAUAAGUAUCAUCUAUGAUGGAUAAUAUGUAAUUUAAUUGGGUCAUUAUCUUUCUCCCAAAUGCAUAUUGAGGCUCGAAGUAUGUCCCUAAAUCCCAAAAAUAUAACUCCACUAAUCUGUCUCUUGCAUAAGGUAGUUUUGUAGUGAAGUCUAAAUCUUUCCACCACCUGAAAUAAGAAUAUAUACAUGUGUCACGAUUCUAUUGAUUGGAUGUACGACGGAGGUAUAAAAGAAUUUCUCCCUAUCGAAAGAACUUACUUUGUUAAUUCAUUGAGUUCCUCCUUGUGCAGCUCUAGCAAUAUGUUAAAAUCUAACUUUGCAAAAUUCAGCAGAGUUUUAUUGUGUAAAUGAUCACUUGUUGAAUUGAUCAUGGACAUAAAAUACCUCGCCUCUAAUCUUGGUAGGGUUUUACGAAGAGGACGGUAUAAAGCAUGAUUUAUCUGUUCCGCAAGCUUAGGGGUUACAUGAUCCUGAGCUACCAAUGACUUCAGGUGAGUGGUAGUGAAAGCAAUGGCUUCAUCUAAUAUAUGUUCUCCGCGAACUGCCAUGUAUGCUGCCUCGUACAAACUUAACAUCCCUUGAACAUCGUUUAUCAACGAUGACUUGAAUCUACCCUCAUCAUCUUUGAACUUCUCAAACACAUCUGAUUAUCACAUUCAAAAAGUAAAUUACUGAAGGCUUACAUGAUUAAUAAUUAGUCAAUGAUUUUGUAAUUGCAAUAAUGUUAGAGCCACAAAUUCUUCAUACAUUACAAACUCAUCAAGUCGCAUCAUAAUUUUGGUUAGAUAAAUAUACCACAUGACUUAUUUUCAUUAUUAUUUUUAUUAAUCAAUCAAUACUCUUAUAUGAAAAUAAAAAAGUAGGGUGAGGGUAAAAUCUAAAUUGAUAUUUUAGCCCCGGCCUAGCUUACAUUAUUCAAACUCAAGUGGUUAGCUAAAGAAAACUACUUGAAAAUCAGUCGUCCAAAUCUCUAGAGACAAAUACAAUAAAAAGUGUUUGUGACUGUCGCAUUACUCACAAUUGUAAUAGCUUGAGUGAGAUUACAUACCACAUGAAAUCUUGAUUCCUUGCUGCCUAAGCAAUCGAAAAUGAAGAGAAACGGUGUGAAGAUCAGGGCUAUUACUGUGAAUAUAGUUUGGACAUAAUUUUUGUAUUGCAUCUUCUAUUUCUUUCUCAAAGUGAUAAGCCACCCCCAGGCGUUGUACUUCAUCAAUCAAGCGUAACUUCUGAACAGGCUUAUCUUCAGCAUCUGUUAUCAUUCUCCUUACCUCUUCUUUCAGUGCCUCGUGUCGUUCUUGAGUUGCAGUAUGAUCAACUGUCUGAAGCACAAAAAAUAAUUUGUUAAAUUCAUACAAUAUCUGAUGAAUGGUCAAUUUAAAAAAAAAAAAAGCUGCUUUAAAACCAUUUGGUCAAACUCCUGAAGAUACGGUACAUGCUCACUUAACAAAUCGAGUCCUAUAUGGGAUGUUUGGGUUCAUCUUUACCUUGAAAUCAGAAGCACCUUUGAGGAAAUGGUUUCUCCAUAAACUAGGAUGGAAAUCUGCAGUAGGACGAAAUGUUUCUCCAGACGACAUUUUUGUGUCAGACAAACGGGUGCUGCAGAAUUUUGAUAUUUCUGUGGAAUUAUAAUUUGUAUUUCUACUACUACUGCACCCUUUAAUAUAUACUAAUUCGAUUAUAUCAAGACGGACGCAUGCAACUUGUCUUGAAAGCCUUUUAAUUUAAUUUAUUAUCAAUUCCGAUUCAUUUAAACGCUUGGAUGCAUGGAAACCACGUGAUGGGUCAAUUUUUGACUUUCUGUUAGAUUCUCAAAAUUGUGUCAAUUUUUUUUUCUUUUUCUUUUUGGCCUAUUUAUAACUUAUGGUUUUAAUGGAAAGAUUUUAGUGCAUAUCUGUAUCAUAUUGACAAGUGACAACAACUAGUGUAUUUACUGGGAUAAUUAUUUUUCAGGUAACUCGUUCUCUGUUUAAUCGCAACAAAAUGGCUUGUCUCUAAUUAGAGUUUGAUUAUAUGUUUAAGCUCUUGGUUCUAUUUAGAGUUAGGACUCCAGAAAGUGUUCGUAGAGUUUACACGUACAAGAGAAAUUUUGUUGCUUGCAAUAUUUGGCAUGUAAGGCGGAUGAAAAAUAGGCUUGGGCAUAUGUAUUACAUUGUUUCGGAGUUAGUGCUGAGAUUUUGGCUAACUUUUUAGAAAUAUAUAAUUAGUAGUUAUUUGGAUAAAAAUAUAAAACUAAUUAAAUUUUAACUAUGUAUACGUUUAGGUAUGGAAAAAGACUAUAAAAAAGUUUAGCACAGUUAAACUCAGUAUUGGAUCCAAAUCUGUAAUACAUGGGAACUAUUGAACCUAUCAAGAAGAGCUGACUUGUUAGAAAGAGAUUUGUAAUAAUUCAGGGAGAGAUGUGUUAAAAUUUUAGCAAAAUUUCAGGGGCGAUGAAUGAAAUAUUUUCUAAACUUUUGUGAAACUUAAAUUUACCCAUAGAUAUUUUGUGUAAUUUUAUAGGUGGAGCAGAUAUAUCCCUCCCAAAAUUGUGUACAAUAUGCAUAUCAGUAAUUAAAGAAAAAAAAAUUGGGGAUGAUGAUGCAUACCUCCUCUUUUGCAUAACGUACGCAGUGUGAUCUUCCUUGCUUGGCCAUAUCUUCCUCAAUUUCAUUAAAAGCAUCUAAGAGUGUCCUGUAAAUCAAUUUCAUGUAUUCUGGAAGCGUAUCUACGGCCUCAAUAUUCCAUCUGGAAAUCAAUUUAAUAACCAUUUUAUAAUAAUAGCAACAAAAAUUUAAUUCUGAAAUUCAAAAUUAAUUAGCUAUACGCAGGGCACUAACCUUUGAACUGCUUCAGUAAAGAGGCUGAGUUCUUCAAGUGUACCAUACGCAUCAUAAGUAUCAUCUAUGAUGGAUAAUAUGUAAUUUAAUUGGGUCAUUAUCUUUCUCCCAAAUGCAUAUUGAGGCUCGAAGUAUGUCCCUAAAUCCCAAAAAUAUAACUCCACUAAUCUGUCUCUUGCAUAAGGUAGUUUUGUAGUGAAGUCUAAAUCUUUCCACCACCUGAAAUAAGAAUAUAUACAUUUGUCACGAUUCUAUUGUUUGGAUGUACGACGGAGGUAUAAAAGAAUUUCUCCCUAUCGAAAGAACUUACUUUGUUAAUUCAUUGAGUUCCUCCUUGUGCAGCUCUAGCAAUAUGUUAAAAUCUAACUUUGCAAAAUUCAGCAGAGUUUUAUUGUAUAAAUGAUCACUUGUUGAAUUGAUCAUGGACAUAAAAUACCUCGCCUCUAAUCUUGGUAGGGUUUUACGAAGAGGACGGUAUAAAGCAUGAUUUAUCUGUUCCGCAAGCUUAGGGGUUACAUGAUCCUGAGCUACCAAUGACUUCAGGUGAGUGGUAGUGAAAGCAAUGGCUUCAUCUAAUAUAUGUUCUCCGCGAACUGCCAUGUAUGCUGCCUCGUACAAACUUAACAUCCCUUGAACAUCGUUUAUCAACGAUGACUUGAAUCUACCCUCAUCAUCUUUGAACUUCUCAAACACAUCUGAUUAUCACAUUCAAAAAGUAAAUUACUGAAGGCUUACAUGAUUAAUAAUUAUUCAAUGAUUUUGUAAUUUCAAUAAUGUUAGAGCCACAAAUUCUUCAUACAUUACAAACUCAUGAAGUCGCAUCAUAAUUUUGGUUAGAUAAAAAUACCACAUGACUUAUUUUCAUUAUUAUUUUUAUUAAUCAAUCAAUACUCUUACAUGAAAAUAAAAAAGUAGGGUGAGGGUAAAAUCUAAAUUGAUAUUUUAGCCCCGGCCUAGCUUACAAUAUUCAAACUCAAGUGGUUAGCUAAAGAAAACUACUUGAAAAUCAGUCGUCCAAAUCUCUAGAGACAAAUACAAUAAAAAGUGUUUGUGACUGUCGCAUUACUCACAAUUGUAAUAGCUUGAGUGAGAUUACAUACCACAUGAAAUCUUGAUUCCUUGCUGCCUAAGCAAUCGAAAAUGAAGAGAAACGGUGUGAAGAUCAGGGCUAUUACUGUGAAUAUAGUUUGGACAUAAUUUUUGUAUUGCAUCUUCUAUUUCUUUCUCAAAGUGAUAAGCCACCCCCAGGCGUUGUACUUCAUCAAUCAAGCGUAACUUCUGAACAGGCUUAUCUUCAGCAUCUGUUAUCAUUCUCCUUACCUCUUCUUUCAGUGCCUCGUGUCGUUCUUGAGUUGCAGUAUGAUCAACUGUCUGAAGCACAAAAAAUAAUUUGUUAAAUUCAUACAAUAUCUGAUGAAUGGUCAAUUUAAAAAAAAAAAAAGCUGCUUUAAAACCAUUUGGUCAAACUCCUGAAGAUACGGUACAUGCUCACUUAACAAAUCGAGUCCUAUAUGGGAUGUUUGGGUUCAUCUUUACCUUGAAAUCAGAAGCACCUUUGAGGAAAUGGUUUCUCCAUAAACUAGGAUGGAAAUCUGCAGUAGGACGAAAUGUUUCUCCAGACGACAUUUUUGUGUCAGACAAACGGGUGCUGCAGAAUUUUGAUAUUUCUGUGGAAUUAUAAUUUGUAUUUCUACUACUACUGCACCCUUUAAUAUAUACUAAUUCGAUUAUAUCAAGACGGACGCAUGCAACUUGUCUUGAAAGCCUUUUAAUUUAAUUUAUUAUCAAUUCCGAUUCAUUUAAACGCUUGGAUGCAUGGAAACCACGUGAUGGGUCAAUUUUUGACUUUCUGUUAGAUUCUCAAAAUUGUGUCAAUUUUUUUUUCUUUUUCUUUUUGGCCUAUUUAUAACUUAUGGUUUUAAUGGAAAGAUUUUAGUGCAUAUCUGUAUCAUAUUGACAAGUGACAACAACUAGUGUAUUUACUGGGAUAAUUAUUUUUCAGGUAACUCGUUCUCUGUUUAAUCGCAACAAAAUGGCUUGUCUCUAAUUAGAGUUUGAUUAUAUGUUUAAGCUCUUGGUUCUAUUUAGAGUUAGGACUCCAGAAAGUGUUCGUAGAGUUUACACGUACAAGAGAAAUUUUGUUGCUUGCAAUAUUUGGCAUGUAAGGCGGAUGAAAAAUAGGCUUGGGCAUAUGUAUUACAUUGUUUCGGAGUUAGUGCUGAGAUUUUGGCUAACUUUUUAGAAAUAUAUAAUUAGUAGUUAUUUGGAUAAAAAUAUAAAACUAAUUAAAUUUUAACUAUGUAUACGUUUAGGUAUGGAAAAAGACUAUAAAAAAGUUUAGCACAGUUAAACUCAGUAUUGGAUCCAAAUCUGUAAUACAUGGGAACUAUUGAACCUAUCAAGAAGAGCUGACUUGUUAGAAAGAAGAUAUCUUGAUAAAGUUGGCAUGUCUCUUGUAAAGAGAAAAAAAAAAUUAUUAGAAAAGAGAUGGCAUAAAACCAUUAGUAAUUUUGUUGCCUUAAAAACAAAAAUUUAAUGAAGAUCGAACGUCGUGGGCAAAAACGGAAUUCAAAAAUAAAUUUCGUGAUUAAGAAAUGGCCACAACUAUGGUACCACUGUGGUACCAUAGCCGGACCCUUAAGAAAUUUAUGAAUUAUUCACAGGAUUACAAUUUCUUGAGAAUUAAGUAGUCAAAAUAGGAGAGCUAACCGAAUUUAAUUUGAUCUAAUUUAUUUAACCAACAGUCCGUAAUUAAUUGGAUUUGAUUUGAUUUUCUUAUUUUUUUAUUCAACUCAAUCUUCCAAGGACGAAAUAAAAUUUGAUCCAAUUUUAUUCAAUUUAACAAUAACCAAUCUAAAUAACAACAAAAUCAUAUUGUAAAUAUCGAUUCGAAUCAAAUUAAUUAAUUUAAAAGUAUAGUAUUUUCAAAAUAUCUUUUAGAUAUGAUGGUUUUGAGUUUUUAAUCUAUAAUACGUGAUGGAAUGGGGUCAGGUACAAUUUCUAGUACUUUCAUAAAAAGAUUUUAGAUACACGGGUUUUGACCUUUUAUUCUAUAAUACAUGAUGGAGAGAGAUCAGAUAUAAUUAAAAUAAUUCUAUAUUUAUUUUUUUAUUAUAUUUUAUUAUGUAAUAAUGGAGAUUGAUUUUUUUUAGUAAUUAUAGCUAUUUUAAAUUUGUUAUUCCAGAUUUUAUCUUAAAUGAUCGGUUAUUUAUUAAGUGGUUGAUAAUUUUUUUAUAAGAUUCAGGUAAAUUAAUUGUAUUAUCUUAUCAUCCAAUUGAUGUAUGCUAUAUCACUUGGAUAUUUUUUAGGAUAAAAAAUUUAGAAUGUAUGGCACUACUCUUUUUUUUUUUUUUUUGUGAGAUUAUUUGAACCGACUAAAUUACUCUCAACACUAAUUUGCUUAAUAAAUCCAUGACUAAAGUUUAAAAAUAAAAUUUUACUUUAUAUGCUCACCUAAAUGCCCGAUUUACCCCUAUCUCUUUGUAACAUUAUUUGAAAAGCAAAAAGAAGAGAAAGGGGAAAAAAACUUGACAUGGUAUCUUUUAGAUCGGAAAAGAGAGAAGCUUGAUUGUUGGAAUGCAUAGAUAAUCCAAAUCCAAAUCUCAUUUCCAUCUUAAAUCGGUAAUCCAAUUUGGCUACCAUUACAACCAGUAAGUUUAUUUUUUCAAAUUAGAAUACAACAUGCACUACUAGAAAAAUGGUCUUUACUGAUACUUAGUUUGUGACACUUUAUUAAAAAGUAUCAGUAUUUACAUAUAUAUGGACCAUUUUCCGUGUUUAACAUAUAAGUAUCACAAAAUACUAAUACUAUGGUGUCUCUAAAUUAAACAUCAGAGAUUACUGACACUAAAGUAUCUGUAAAAAAUUUAAAGUAAUUAUGAUAUUGGUCCCGAUAAAACUCGAACCCAAGACCUAUAAAAAUUAAGCUUUUAAGUUUUAAACAAAAGCCAUUAUAAUUUUUUGCAAUGACACUAAGGUAUCGCUAACUGUUAAAAAAACAAAAACAAAAACACACGCACACAUUCACACAUGACACCUCACCCCACACACUCACAAGACGCAAAAACAAACCCUAAGUCCUUAACAAUUAACAUUACAAUACUUUGAAAGAGAGAGAGAGAGCGCCGCUACUCUCGAUCCAGUGCUCCAACACCGGCUCAGAUCUCUCGCUUUUAUAUCACCGCGUCAAGCCUCUCCGUCACGCCGUCAAGCCUCCAUCAAGUGUCACUGCUUCAAGCCUCCAUCAAGUGUCACUGCGUCAAGCCUCUCUGUCACGUUGUCAAGCUUCCAUCAUGCGUCACCGCGUCAAGCCUCUCUCUGCUGUCAUAAGCCACCGAUGCGGCACCGCGCCAUUGGUAGUGUCGUUAAGGUGCACCAAAUUUAAAACCUUACCACUAAUAUAAAUAAUUAGUACAGAGCGAGUAAGGAUUGAUCCCACAGAGACUAUACUAGUUAUAUUUAUUAUUAACUCUAAAGCAAUAUUUGAAAUAAAAUAAUGGUAGUAAUAAUAAGAGUAAUAAUAAUAUAAAUUAAUCUAACUAAAGAAAAUGCCAAUUAUAAAUAAAAAGGGGGUUUAUGAAUUUUUUAACUAAAUAGUAAGAAGUAAAGAAAUUAAAACUACGAACAAGAAUUCAAUAAAAACUCUAAUUAAAGGAGAAAGAAAUAAUAAUCAAUUUAAGAUAACGGAAGCAUUAAAUAAAGAAAGAUAUUAUGUUGAUCUAGGCAAUAAACACACAAGCUCGGAUUAUUUAACCUAGGUUAUGUUCUUCAAUUGAAAUCAUGAAUUCCAACCUGCUACUAAUGAUUAAAAUAUCAAGACAAUUACAGAUCAAGAAUUUUAAUCUAACAAUAAAAUUUAUUCAAGUCCUAUCUAAUUGACCACUCAAAUAAAACAAGAAUAAACCAUGAACAUUAAUUAUAGAAGAACAUAAACAAUCUCAAUUAAAUAAAUUGAAUGAUAGAAUUUAAAUUUAAUUGCAUAGCAUGUUUAGGGUUUUGAAUUCACCCUCAACCAAAUAAAAAUCUAGCCUAACAUAAUUGAAUUGGGAAUAAGAGAAUUGAUAAAACCAGUCAUGUAGAUUAAUUCAAGCGGCUGCCUUUGCUUCAAUUUUAAUUCCUUCCGGCGUCUCCCUUGUUUUUUUCCUUCUUGCAGCUGCAAUCUCAAAUUCUCUUGCUGCCGAUUCUCCUCCAGUGUUGAUUCUGCUUGAUCCUAUUUAUAAUGCUUCAAUUGUGGCUUUUUUAAAUCCUUGCCUGGAAAGAAUUAAAUUCAAAGCCCAAAACCGCCACUUUCAUGCUUCAAUUAAUAAGCCAAUAAUGAUUUCCUAAAGCCAAAAGGCUUUAUUCUCUUUCCUUUCACGUGGCCACUUUUGAUUUGCAAUCUUUGUUUUCCAAUUUUGCUUUCAUGUGAUGGCUUGGCUUGUUAAUUGGUUUGGCUUCCUUUUUGACUUUCAUUUUCUAAUUUUAGCUCCAUGUACAACAUUAAUUUUGCUUGGCCGAUACAAGCUUUAAUUAAAUUUAUUUUCUAAUUCCUUCCAAUUCUUGAUCUCUUGUGCACUUUUGUCUUUCAAUCUUCAAUCAAAUUUCUGUCCUGAAUGCUCCGAUUUAAUUUCUCUUUAAUUCCAGAAUAUACCUAAAAUAAAAAAAUAAAUAAAACUAAGAUAAAAAUUAACACAAUAAAAUAUAAUUUACUAAAUUAAAAGUUAACUAAAAUAACUAGAAUAUUUAAGACCAAAACAAGAAAAAGAUAGAGAAAUUAAUAGCAAAAUAUAUGGAAAAUAUGCACUUAUCAGCCAUCACUAGCCAACCAGCCACCAAAAUUGACAGCCGUGCUAGCUACCCACCAUCACAAUACCCUACCACUGCCUGCUAAUACUCCAAAAAAUCUUCUCAAAACUUCGAGCCACAGUGUCCAGGUCUGGUUUUUCAAGUCUUGCUUUUUUAAGUUUUUAGUAUCAUCAAGUCUUGCUUCUUCAAGUCUUAAAGUGUAUCUUCAGUCACCAAUUAUAUUUAUGGGUAUUCACUGGUUCGUUGAGUAAUUUUUUCAAACAGAUGGGGUAUUGCGUCAUAACAGCCUUGUAUAUUUCUAUAUCUAAUAUUGAAUGAAUGAAUGAAUCUAUGUGUAGCUUACGAAAUGCAAAAUCAGGAGUAGUAACAAUUAAAGAACAAUUAAAACUGAAAUGAAAGCAUAAUCACAAGUUGUUUAUUGAUUUACCUUUCAAUAAAUCUCUCUCUCACACUUACACACUCUGCUCUCUAACCUACCUUUUUGACUUGGCUCCCAAAAAAUAAUAAAGUAAAAUUUUGGUCCCAAGAAAGUUUGAUUUCUAAACAAAGGGGAAAAAAAAGUUAAAAGAAAGUAAGAUUUAUUUUACAAAUUUUACGGUGCUUCUCUUUUAGAACUGUAUGUAUAAAUAAUAAUAAUAAUAUGAGUUUCAUAGAAAAUUUAAUUUAUUUGAUCAUGUUCAUUGAUAUGCUUUAACAAUGCUUUAUUAAUUCUGUUAAUUUGCUUUAACAAUGCUUUAUUAAUUCUAUUAAUUGCACUUCUUAACUCCUACUUAUCAUAUGAUUAACCCCUUAGUUUGGUUGGGAUGAUUGGUACUUUCUAUUUUUAACUUAUGGUGGAGCGUUUGAGUCUUGCGGUGACCUAUUAGUUUGGUUAAGUUGAUCGGCACUUUCUAUCUUUAACUUACGAUGGAGCAUUCGAGUCUGGCAGUAAAUAUAUAUUAGAGUUUAUUUUUUUAUUCGAAGGGAAAAUCUUUAAAUAACAAUAAAAAUAUAAAAUAUUUAUUAGUACAGACCAAUACGAUACACCGUAUUUCCUUCAAACACAAACCAAGGAACUGAAAAUAUUAUUAAUAGAAGUAUAGAACUAGUCGUCAAAAUGGAACGUGGUCUCCUAGCACAGAAGCAAUUUGAUCUUUAAUUAGGUAAGAAUGCGUAUAGCCGUCGUCCUCUUUGUAAAUAAAAUCAAUUGCACGAGCAAGAUUAAGAAUCGUCCCGAGCAGUGGUCGGGCAACGACGGUUGGCUUCAUCAUCAACUCCUCGUUAAUAUCUUUCCAUGCAUUUGCAACUUCUUCUUCAAACAUUUUAAUUGCCUCUUCCUUAGAGACACCAUGCUGCUUCGUGUAACAUUCAAUAGCUGACGCAACAUGUCCUCUCUUCUGCUCAAACUACAUAUAUAAUAACAUAUGGUUUAGUAUCGGUGCCUGUUUA
RNAcentral lists this long non-coding RNA (11825 nucleotides) under Citrus sinensis (sweet orange). RNAcentral's name for it is "long non-coding RNA (CSIN_LNC002012)". Lineage: Eukaryota; Viridiplantae; Streptophyta; Magnoliopsida; Sapindales; Rutaceae. The record is from RNAcentral.